Molecule: ribosomal RNA, 374 nt
Filed under: uncultured bacterium
Lineage: Bacteria
Description: partial 16S ribosomal RNA
Rfam family: Bacterial small subunit ribosomal RNA
Source: RNAcentral
GUAGGGGGCGAGCGUUGUCCGAAGUUACUGGGCGUAAAGCGCGCGUAGGCGGGGGGUUAAGUGAGAGGUGAAAGGCUGAGGCUCAACCUCAUGCAGUGCCUCUCAUACUGGCCUUCUUGAGGGCGGUAGGGAGAAGUGGAAUGGCUGGUGUAGCGGUGAAAUGCGUAGAUAUCAGUCGGAACACCGGUGGCGAAGGCGGCUUCUUGGGCCGUUCCUGACGCUGAGGCGCGAAAGCUGGGGGAGCGAACGGGAUUAGAUACCCCGGUAGUCCCAGCCGUAAACGAUGGAUACUAGGUGUCGGGGGUAUCGACCCCCCCGGUGCCGCAGCUAACGCAUUAAGUAUCCCGCCUGGGGAGUACGGCCGCAAGGUUGAA